RNAcentral lists this long non-coding RNA (536 nucleotides) under Bos indicus x Bos taurus (hybrid cattle). RNAcentral's name for it is "lncRNA (ENSBIXG00000020878.1)". The record is from RNAcentral. Lineage: Eukaryota; Metazoa; Chordata; Mammalia; Artiodactyla; Bovidae.
CAUCAGACCACCAUUGGAAGUUCCCGCUCUCUGGCUCUUGGAGGAGACACCUGUCUUGCUAGAUGUGGCCAAGCGAAGAAUUUUUUGUCCAGGUGCCUGAAAACAGGGAGACGAGAAGAAGAUGUGGAAGAGGCCACGUACAUUAGAAAAUCUAGCAGCGCUGAUAAGUGAUGGAUAUAAAGCUUGAGCAAGUCUGUCUGCAUCCCCCUCAUAAAAAUGAAGAACACUGUGUUCAGCCCCAGGCCUGGAACAUUCCUUUGAUGAGUUAAUCUCCAGCCAUCCUUCAAAUCUCAGCCCACUUGUCACUUCCUUAAAAAGAUCUCCCAUCGUCCCGCUGAACACCCUCUUCAGUACCCUCAUUGCAGUUGUUUCUGUUCUGGAAAAACAAAAUCCAGCCUUGAUCUUGCCUGGACAUCUCGCCUGAAAUACCAAAUGCACGUUCCAUCCAUAAGACAUUCCCUGGGCUGAUUAUUCAUUCAUCUUCAUUCCUCACCGAGCAUCAAGUUAUAUAUGCACAGUUAUUAGUAAUAAAUACC